UACGGAGGGUGCGAGCGUUGUCCGGAAUCAUUGGGCGUAAAGGGCGCGUAGGUGGCCCGGUGAGUCUUUGGUGAAAGCGCGGGGCUCAACCCUGCGUCGGCCAGGGAUACUGCCGCGGCUCGAGCACUGUAGAGGCAGGCGGAAUUCCGGGUGUAGCGGUGGAAUGCGUAGAGAUCCGGAAGAACACCGGUGGCGAAGGCAGCUCGCUGGGACGGUACUGACGCUAAGGCGCGAAAGCGUGGGGAGCGAACAGG
This 254-nucleotide ribosomal RNA is filed under the name uncultured bacterium. RNAcentral's name for it is "partial 16S ribosomal RNA". It matches the Rfam family "Bacterial small subunit ribosomal RNA", at positions 524 to 776 of the family's 1533-position model. The record is from RNAcentral.